CGGAGUGUAGCUCAGCUUGGUAGAGCACUGUCUUCGGGAGGCAGGGGUCGUGAGUUCGAAUCUCGCCACUCCGACCA
This 77-nucleotide transfer RNA is filed under the name Boseongicola sp. Its description in RNAcentral is "tRNA-Pro". It matches the Rfam family "tRNA". From Rfam's summary of the family: Transfer RNA (tRNA) molecules are approximately 80 nucleotides in length. Their secondary structure includes four short double-helical elements and three loops (D, anti-codon, and T loops). The record is from RNAcentral. RNAcentral also lists the same sequence under 6 other names. Lineage: Bacteria; Pseudomonadati; Pseudomonadota; Alphaproteobacteria; Rhodobacterales; Paracoccaceae.